This 739-nucleotide long non-coding RNA is filed under the name Mytilus galloprovincialis (Mediterranean mussel). Lineage: Eukaryota; Metazoa; Mollusca; Bivalvia; Mytilida; Mytilidae. The record is from RNAcentral.
GGUAAACGGAAAAAAAGUCACAGGAAAAAAAGUCACGGGAAAAAAAGUCACAAAAUUACUAGGAAAAAAAGUCACAGGAAAAAAAGUCACAAGAAAAAAAGUCACAGGAAAAAAAGUCACAAUAUUUUUUAGUAAAAUUAUUUAUCAGAAGUAUGUUGGAAUGCACAUGAAAAGGUAACUAUGUACAUGUAUGCAAUAAAUGAUUCAACUGGAGUUUUUGAAUGCAUAGAAAAAAGCCAUAAUAUACUUGUAUCAGAUUACUUACUCUUAGUGGUAAAGUUUAAUCUUUAAAAACCAUAAAGGAAGUAUAUAUAAACUAAUAAAAGCGUAAUAUAAUAUGUUCUUUUUUUCAAAAUUGACUUUUUAUCAAACAGGGAAAGCUGAUUGUUUCCUUUCAUUUAAUAUUGAGCUUAGUUGUAUUUCAUUGGUGUGACUUCCAACGAAGACAGGAAGUGGCAGGUCUACAAAAGGGGGAAGGUGUCACAAGAAGCCACACAUCAAUAUCAACAGUCCCUCUUAGUAUUAAUGGGAAUGAGUUGUUUGUUUAACACUGAAUUGAAGGAAUUAUACUUUAUCUUCAAAAAUCAAAAUAACUUGUGAUCAAGUCAUAUACUGAACCUCUAACUUGAAUUCACAUUGAAGGAAAUUGUUGCUGUUUAACUCACAUCUCUUUCAUUUCAUAAGAGAUAUAAAACAAAAAUAAUUACAACAAAUCCUUGAAAACAUGCAUGUAUCAAUA